This 30-nucleotide non-coding RNA is filed under the name Mus musculus (house mouse). The record is from RNAcentral. Lineage: Eukaryota; Metazoa; Chordata; Mammalia; Rodentia; Muridae.
UCCAGGAAAGUUGUGCAAUUAUUGGAGUUU